CCGAGGGAGUCUCAGGCAUUCCAAAGUGAGGAAGUGGAUUCAGAUGUAGUAUCUGUGAGAAAGUACUGACAUGUAAAGGUGGAUAUACUGUUCAUCAGCAGAUGACUUGAAGUCAAAAGAAACGGAGACCAUUCAGUCAUUUCUACAGAUUUCCAAGCACGAAUGCUCUUAUGUUCAGCUGAGAAAAAAAUGAUGAACAAGCAGAAAAUACAGCAGCAAAGGACAAGGAAGAGAUGGCACACAUUUUAAGAAUGAAAUUAACUUAAUAAAUAUUCAGAUCAUUUCUAAGGGAUGUUACAUUUGGGAAUUCACUUUUCCAGUAUAGUACAGAUACUAGUACUUUGCUGGUAGAGGGUGGAGUGAAUCCCUUGUGUGAUUUGAACCAACCCUCUAAAGGUGAAACACCUUAUCACAGAACAACAUUGUUAGCAAUUUAACCUGACAAAUGUUAGUCAAGGUCUCGAUCAGAGAAGUGUAAAUGCCACAAUUACAAUUUUUUGCAAAGUUAUGCAAAUAAGAAUGUCAAAACUAUUUGGUUUAAUAAAUAGUAAUUAUUAAACUUA
Molecule: long non-coding RNA, 563 nt
Organism: Haliotis rubra (blacklip abalone)
Lineage: Eukaryota; Metazoa; Mollusca; Gastropoda; Lepetellida; Haliotidae
Exons: 3
Source: RefSeq, a predicted model, not a curated record